RNAcentral lists this ribosomal RNA (648 nucleotides) under uncultured marine bacterium. Its description in RNAcentral is "bacterial SSU rRNA". It matches the Rfam family "Bacterial small subunit ribosomal RNA", at positions 97 to 779 of the family's 1533-position model. The record is from RNAcentral.
GGCAGACGGGUGAGUAACAUGUAGGCAUCUGCCCUUUGGCCUGGAAUAACACGAGGAAACUUGUGCUAAUACCGGAUAAGUCUUUACGGAGAAAGCUUUAUGCACCAUUGGAUGAGCCUGCACUUGAUUAGUUUGUUGGUGGGGUAAUGGCCUACCAAGACUUUGAUCAAUAGCUGAUUUGAGAGGAUGAUCAGCCACAUUGGGACUGAGACACGGCCCAAACUCCUACGGGAGGCAGCAGUGGGGAAUCUUGCACAAUGGAGGAAACUCUGAUGCAGCGAUGCCGCGUGAGUGAAGAAGGCCCUUGGGUUGUAAAGCUCUUUCGUCGGGGAAGAAAAUGACUGUACCCGAAUAAGAAGGUCCGGCUAACUUCGUGCCAGCAGCCGCGGUAAUACGAAGGGACCUAGCGUAGUUCGGAAUUACUGGGCUUAAAGAGUUCGUAGGUGGUUGAAAAAGUUGGUGGUGAAAUCCCAGAGCUUAACUCUGGAACUGCCAUCAAAACUUUUCAGCUAGAGUUUGAUAGAGGAAAGCAGAAUUUCUAGUGUAGAGGUGAAAUUCGUAGAUAUUAGAAAGAAUACCAAUUGCGAAGGCAGCUUUCUGGAUCAUUACUGGCACUGAGGAACGAAAGCAUGGGUAGCGAAGAGGAUU